GAAGGUAUAGCUCAAGUGGUAGAGUGCAUGCUUAGCAGGCAUGAGGUCCUGGGUUCAACCCCCAGUACCUCCA
This 73-nucleotide transfer RNA is filed under the name Camelus bactrianus (Bactrian camel). It matches the Rfam family "tRNA". Rfam says of the family: Transfer RNA (tRNA) molecules are approximately 80 nucleotides in length. Lineage: Eukaryota; Metazoa; Chordata; Mammalia; Artiodactyla; Camelidae. The record is from Rfam by way of RNAcentral. RNAcentral also lists the same sequence under 2 other names.